CUUCGGCUUUCCUUCCUCCCAGCCUCCGUGUCCCCUCCCUCUGCCCUGAGUGACGAUAGCGCCCCCUCUCCAGCACGACACUGAGGCCCCCGGUGGCCUGGCCCCUGCCUCCUUUCCAGUUAUUAUUUCCUCACAGUCCGCCCUUCAGAAACACUACUCUGCCCCCAGGCACACUGCCUGGGCCUUGGUCCCUGUGCUCCCGUUGGACCUCAGCUGUCAAGGACCUUCUCACCUUCCUCUGGGCUGGCUACACAUUCGUCAUCAUUCAAGAGUCACCUCCUCCAGGAAGACCGUGUGAGCCCCAGGGAUGCCUAAAUGCGGGACUCUGGGGCCCUUCACCUUCUGUCCUCAGCAUGUAGUUCUGGACCACUGGUUUUCAAAGGUGGGGACUUUGUAUUAACUGCAUCACAAGCUCCCAGGGUAGCUGUUAAAAUCACAGCUUCCUGGGCCAGAAGCUCUGGGCAAGAGGGUCAGGGAGCUGUGCCCAUGGCAAGCCCUCCAGGGCCCUGCUGUUUCCUAAGUUGAACAACUGCCCAGACAGGACCUUUCCUGCUCUCUACCCUCAGCAGCUUGUCCUGGGCUUGGGACCUGGACGGUGCUCAGAAAACGUUCUUUGAGCAGAACCUAAUCAUUCCAACAAGGACUGGCCGUGGACAUGUUUCUACAGUAUCUACUCCCCUGAGCACUGCCCAGAUCUGUAAAGCCAAUGGGGCAUUUUGGCUAAAUAAAAUAUUUAGCCACAGAAUGGGCCAAUCACCACCAAGAGUAAAACUUCUGAGAUACUAGGACCCGUCUGGGAUAUUUUAAAAUUUUAUAAAUUUCUGCUUCUAGAUUCUUCCUGCAGCAACAUCUGUGCAACCAUGAUAGGAGAUAAUCUUCCCUUUUAGUGGAGUUUAUGCAGAGUGGGUGGGUGGGGGGCUCAUACCCUUAAGGGAAUAAAAUACGUAACCAGUAAAUAUGGUUCUUGAAGCUGUUUUACUUCAAUGUAUGAAUCCUAGUGUAUCGAAUCCAUGUAAUAAAGAUUAGAUGGGUGAUAUACUCUAAUUGCUAGUGUUAUUAUUUAAAUAUUUAUAAAAAUUUGCUGAGAAUACAAUAUUCCCCUCCCCGCCAAGUUAUUUAGCUAAGGACCUCUCAAUGUUAACCCAAACUGAUUGCCUUACUUUUAUUUAAGUACUCAAACGUUCUUAAUAACUGUUUUGUACAUGAAACGAAGGGCUUUGCCAAUCAUCAUUAACUAACACAGCAUUUUACUCCUGUGAUUAAUUCCAUUGUCUGGCUGAAUUUCAACAUUUGAAGCACCGCAGGAGAGGCUGGCUGGGAGAUAGGGCUAUAAUGCUUCCCAUAUUUGGAAGUGGGAAUUCAGAGCACGAUGCUAUAACCAAAUGGAGCCCCGUUCCCAUCACUGACCGUGCACCGGUCAGAUACCAUGGCAAUCUCUGUCAUCAUCCAGUCCUGGCCACACUCAUGCUCUGCGAUGCCAGAAAUGAUCUUGAGUUGGUGUUCCAUGUCAGCCUUCCAAGGACAGAGGCCGAAGCCACGGAUACAUAGUGAAGAGAAAGACACCUACAUUGCCCGUGUCACGGAUCCACAAAUAAACGUCACCCCUGCCACCUCAUCUCCCAUGAGAGGGUGUUUCUUAUCCUCAUCACCAAGGGAGAGCAUAUUUCUGGGAGUUCUAGAGACACUUCCUAAAUAAAAGUGCAGAAAGCCCCAGUAAGAAUGAUCUUUACUGGGGCACCGGGGUGGUUCAGUCGGUGAAACUUCUGACUCUUGAUUUUGGCUCAGGUCUUGAUCUCAGGGUCGUGAGUGAGUUCAAGCCCCGUGCUGGGCUCAACACUGGGCGUGGCGGUUGCUUAAAAAAAAAAGAAGUAUCUUUACUGCUUUCUUCAGAAUUAAGGAAGGAACCAGGGCAUGUCCACUAUGCCCUGAGGGAGGCACUGAGUGCCGUGUUCAUAUGGGUGCGUUGGUUGAAACUGGUGGUGCCACUGGCCAGCGGUAUGACUUUGGCUGAGGUACGUCACCCCUCUGACCUUCUGUUUCUUCCUCUGUAGAACCAUGAAGGGACUGUCUGAGAAGGCAUCUUCCAAGCGCUCAGGGACAGCUACGUGUUGACCAUGUCAUUCUGACGUCAUCAGUGUCAAGCGCCAGUAGGACAUUCACUAACAUUUAUGGGCACCUACUAUGUGCUAGGUGCGGGUCCAAGCUUCUAACCAGCAUCCAGUCAUUUAAUCCUCCCAAUAGCCUUGUUUUGGAGAUACUGCCAUCAUCCCGCUGUUGGAAGAAACAGCCCCUUCCUUUGCCCUGCUAAUCGGGGCGGAAGGGCAGCUCCCGUUUAAAGCCGGCUUCAAAGCUACAUUCCCAGCUGGGUGGAACUGGCACAAACUGGCUACUCCGAGAGAGCCAUUGGGCAGGACAAAGAGGAUGAUGGGAGACGUGCCUGGUGCGGAGAGCCUGUGAUUAGGCUGUGACCGGGACUGACUGAUUGCUCUGGCUCUCAAGGAAUGUCUCUUCAAGGAGAUCCAGCUCCCCCAAGGGCACUUGGAAGACGGAGGUCAUGUGGCAAAUGAGGACACGGGCCCUCGCAUCAUAGUGCCCUGGGAAGAGAGAAACAAGGGCAGAGAAUCAGUUUAGCUUUUAAAGAGCAGUGUAAGGGAUACAGCCCCAGGCCUGGAAACGGCCUCCAUGCACCACCCCACGGAGGCGGUCAGCUAACCUGCGGGCCAGCCUCUUGGAUGGGAUACCGUGUAGCACUGAAAACCACUGAUCAGAGACAAGGUGGUAUUUUCAUGAGAUUAGCAAAGAUGAAUUUUUUUUAACCCCAAAGGUUUUAAGGAAGUGUUGAAAACAGUUCUCAGAACAGCGCUUGCCACAAAGAACAAAUGUUCAAUGAAUAAUUUGACGGACCUGAGAGGGAUCCUGUUUGUGUGUCUAACCCUUGGCAAACAGCACAUCCUCUCUUGGGUGGAAAACGGAAAUGGUCAGUCACCUCACAAAGGUUUGAGGAGAGGAGUUCCAGUCCACGAGAGGCCCCUAAAGAACAUUACGGAAUUAGACUCCUCCGCCGGGUGCCCACGAUGUGGGUAAGUAUAUUAUACUAAAGUAUUACUAAAUUAUACUACAGUAGUAGUGGCUAGCUAGCUUCACCACGCGUGGCCCUCCGAAGUCCUGGAGUCUGAGGUUUCAGCUUCUACAGAAUAAACCAGUCCCUUCCUAGCACUAGGGCACUCCGCGAGCCAUGAACUGGCAACAUUUGCCCCGCUGUCCUGGACCGCAACUGCCGAGGUGCUGGAGAAUAGGCAUGUCGUGUCCUGGGGUUCCUGGGUCA
Long non-coding RNA from Lutra lutra (Eurasian river otter), 3325 nucleotides. RefSeq lists it as uncharacterized. The transcript is spliced from 4 exons. The record is from RefSeq and is a predicted model, not a curated record. Lineage: Eukaryota; Metazoa; Chordata; Mammalia; Carnivora; Mustelidae.